CACAAUUGCAACAAUCUUUGAUGUGCAAAUUGAUAAUGCUUCUCAGACCGUGCUGCUCGUUCAGAAAGCCCCAUGGAAUGCAUCAUAAUGUUAUUAAACCAUAAAGUAGAAGGUUUCAACUUUGAAGGUUUCAACUUUUUGGUUUCAUUUGGAGAGUCCCCAACUUUUUCUUUGGUAGCAUUUCUAGUCCACUGAUCUAACAAAUAACAUAUCGGAAGUGAGAGAAUCUGUUUUUUUAUAAAUACCAUUAGCACAUGCCUGCAUAGAAUUCCCAUGAACUCAAACUUGUGGCACGAACAAACCGCAUGUUUUAAUGCAGGAUUCAAGGUAACGAUGUACGCAGGCUUUUGUUUUUGAAACUGAUGUACCUUAUAAAAGUGCUUUUCAUCCUUAACCUCAAUCUUUUCUAGAAAUUCUAGAAGUUAUUACUCUGCUUGACCCUCCACGAGUGGUAACUAGAGGGCGUCCGCAAUCUUUGAGAAUGCAAGGUGCUCUAGAAGUUACUCAGAAGACCAAAAAAGUUUCUGCUCAGAAGACCAAAAAAGUUUCCGCUCAAAAGACCACAAAAGUUUCCGCUCAAAAGACCACAAAAGUUUCCGCUGAGAAACCAAAAAAGCAAACGAGAAGUACGAAACUGAAGAGAAACGGAACAAGUUCGAAUUCUAUUGCCGAAGCCGAACAGGAAAGUACAACAACAUCUAACGAGGCUCAUACAAUGGUAAAAAAUAUUAUAACAACUUUUGUCAGUUGGCUUAUUUUAAUGUGCCUUUUUCUUCAACUAACAAAUGCUUUCAAUUUUUUUGUCAUUUAAUUUAUAAGCAAUUUCAGCGAUAUCCAGAAUAUUAUCAAGGAUAUAUUGAGAACACUAAUUCUGCAUAUGCCACCUCAUUUAUGGAUUUGAUGAAAACAGCUUCAACUCCAUUCCAACAAAAUUAUCCUAGUUAGCGAGUAAGAAGAUAGAAGAUCUGGAGCUUUAGAAUACAAAGGAAACAAGGAGAAAAGAGUUAUUUACACUUCAAUAUUAGUUGUUAUUUACACUUCAAUAUUUUUUUUUAUAUUUUCUUAUUUUGAAUUCUGAAUUGUCCUUUCAUUGUUUAUUUUAACGUGUAUAGUGGUAUAGACAGUUUUGGUAUUUGAACAUAAUAAGACUGCUUGUAAUGCAGUUUGCAAUCUAUUUUUGGGUCACAAAUAUUUGAUUUCAUAUUAUUCGUGAAAAUAGAUGCAUUUUGUAUCAUUAGAAACUGAACAUGGUGAUGUAAAGAUUCCUCUGCAACUUGAUAAAUAUACUGUAAAAAUAGCUGAUGUGAAAAUAGGUGCUCUCAAAGGUUAGUACUCUCGCAAAAAGAGUCUAUAUUGUCACUUUUUUUUUAUAAUAUAUUGCGAGCACAUUCACUGCAAUGCUUUAAGAGUAAAGCUAGUAUAGAUUCUUCAGAAUAUAGAGCUAAAAAGAUAAAUCAACUUACUUUUUGUUUCUUCCAGAUCCCAUAGCUUUAUCACACCUGAUGAAGCUCUAACAAGCACUAGAACUUCUGCUGAGUCAAAAGCUACAGAUUCUAUUCGACUCGUGUGACCACUUAGGCUCUGCAAAAUUGCACAAAACUAGACUAUUCAGUCUUAGAUGACUAAGUGAUUUAAGAUAAAUAAAAAUAAGAACAUGUAGGAGUAAACUCUUCAGUCUUCACAACACAAUGAGCCAAAAAUAAUUUCAUGAUUCAUACUUAGAUGAAUGAUCCAUC
Lycium barbarum (goji berry) is the source of this 1736-nucleotide long non-coding RNA. RefSeq lists it as uncharacterized. The record is from RefSeq and is a predicted model, not a curated record. Lineage: Eukaryota; Viridiplantae; Streptophyta; Magnoliopsida; Solanales; Solanaceae. The transcript has 3 exons.